This 1397-nucleotide long non-coding RNA is filed under the name Homo sapiens (human). RNAcentral describes it as "HSALNT0181199". Lineage: Eukaryota; Metazoa; Chordata; Mammalia; Primates; Hominidae. The record is from RNAcentral.
GAAACGUUUUCAUUCACAGACGCUGUGGAUAAAUCCCAAAGAGAGAGCUAGCAAAAGAGGGAGCUUUUUUAAGUUUAAAGAAAAAAAAAUAAUAAAAGGUCCGUAAAUCAGAAGGCUCUGACAAGCUACCCAGGAAAUACGCAAUUACAGAGCAAUCAGCCAGUGCAGGGAUCUCAACAUAGCCAUUGUGUGUGCCUCUGCUGUUCCAGAGGACAAAAGGAGCCAGCACGGCUGGGGAUCAAGGCGAGGCGGGCGCGCCCACACCUUGUGGGAAGCGGAGGCGGCCACCGCGUGCAGGAAGGGUCUCCCAGGUGGCCGGAGAACCCACAGGCGUGUACGGACAAGGUGCCCUGGGUGCCCUGGCUGACCCCUGGUCAGCCCGGCCAGGGGUAGAGACCUUCCCGGAAGGCGAAGAUCGCAUAGCCAAGUGGAAGAAGCCAAGUGAAGGGCUAUGGGGACCUAGAAGAUGGAGUCGUCACACAGUGGAAGAAUUGCAGAUCUCUGAGUCACCAUUUGGACAAGAACCUACUAGAACAGGUGCCUGAACAAGAACACUGGACUUUGUGGAUACUGCUGGAAGAUGGACAGUGAAUUGUCAGAAUUCAGAAGUUCCAGGUCAGAGGUUGACUCAGCCACCCCUGGGCUGAUGGAACCAUCAGAAGGAUCCUCUGAUUCAGUCCCCAAACUGGGCCCUGUGGAGCAGCAUCCCAGACAGCAGGAAUCGGACCUGCAAUUACUCCUUGGGACUCAGGGAGGAGUUUUAACAAGAAAACUGCACAUCUUCAGAGCAGGUGGUCUUUUCUGUCUCUAUAAUCAAACAAAAAUUUUUUUCGACUGUUCUAUAACAGACUGCUGCCUGGGAUCCUAGAACUGUUGCGUUUUUGAUCUUCCUCUUCGCAGCAUGGACAGUGGAUCCCCUUGAUCUGCAAGCCCUGCCCUGCCUCUCUCUGCACGCUGGGGGUUCAGGGAGGCUACACCCUUGGGGGGCACUGGGAGCUGCUGGAGAUGUGCACAGCGAGCAGUGGAGAGCAGUCGUCUCUUCUGAUCUACAUGCAGGGGAACUGGUGAGAGUUGCCGUAGGACCUCUGGUGAAAUUACCUUGGCUACUGACUAGUAAAGAGAUGAGAAAGGAGAGGUACUAUAGAUUUUCUUUAAGAAAUAAAUAUUGUCUCCUCUUUCUCUCUUUUCUCUGGUAAACAGUGCCCAAAUUUGGAAAUAUCACGUGUAAUUUAUUGUCCCACUUUAAAUGUUUCUUGUAACCAUGAAUUACUAUUCUUGGAUCAGAUUCCAUUAUAAUAAACUCCCACUUGGACUCCAAAUUCUUUUACAACAGUGGAAUUUUGCUUGAACUAACGCAUUGUUAUAAAUCACAUUUUCUGACCCCAGCCUGGAGUUCA